GAUGAAGAACGUAGCGAAAUGCGAUAAGUAAUGUGAAUUGCAGAAUUCAGUGAAUCAUCGAAUCUUUGAACGCACAUUGCGCCCGCCAGUAUUCUGGCGGGCAUGCCUGUUCGAGCGUCAUUACAACCCUCAGGCCCCCGGGCCUGGCGUUGGGGAUCGGCGGAGCCCCCCGUGGGCACACGCCGUCCCCCAAAUGCAGUGGCGGUCCCGCCGCAGCUUCCAUCGCGUAGUAGCUAACACCUCGCGACUGGAGAGCGGCGCGGCCACGCCGUAAAACACCCAACUCUUCUGAAGUUGACCUCGAAUCAGGUAGGAAUACCCGCUGAACUUAAGCAUAUCAAUAGGCGGAGGA
Molecule: unclassified non-coding RNA, 352 nt
Filed under: soil metagenome
Description: partial contains 5.8S ribosomal RNA, internal transcribed spacer 2, and large subunit ribosomal RNA
Rfam family: 5.8S ribosomal RNA (bases 1-120)
Source: RNAcentral